RNAcentral lists this ribosomal RNA (253 nucleotides) under uncultured bacterium. RNAcentral's name for it is "partial 16S ribosomal RNA". It matches the Rfam family "Bacterial small subunit ribosomal RNA", at positions 524 to 776 of the family's 1533-position model. The record is from RNAcentral.
UACGUAGGGGGCAAGCGUUGUCCGGAAUCAUUGGGCGUAAAGAGCGUGUAGGCGGCUCGAUAAGUCCGCUGUGAAAGUCCAGGGCUCAACCCUGGAAGGCCGGUGGAAACUGUCGGGCUAGAGUCCGGAAGAGGCGAGUGGAAUUCCCGGUGUAGCGGCGAAAUGCGCAGAUAUCGGGAGGAACACCAAUGGCGAAGGCAGCUCGCUGGGACGGUACUGACGCUGAGACGCGAAAGCGUGGGGAGCAAACAGG